GGUUGAUCCUGCCAGUAGUCAUAUGCUUGUCUCAAAGAUUAAGCCAUGCAUGUCUAAGUAUAAACUAUUUAUACGGUGAAACUGCGAAUGGCUCAAUAAAUCAGUAAUAGUUUAUUUGAUAGUACCUACUACUUGGAUAACUGUAGUAAUUCUAGAGCUAAUACAUGCAAAAAAUCCUGACUAGUUUCUUCUGGAAGGGAUGUAUUUAUUAGAUGAGAAACCAAUACAGAGGCAACUCUGGUCUACAUUGGUGAAUCAUAAUAACUUUGCGGAUCGUAUAGCCUUGUGCUGA
This 292-nucleotide ribosomal RNA is filed under the name uncultured eukaryote. RNAcentral describes it as "partial 18S ribosomal RNA". It matches the Rfam family "Eukaryotic small subunit ribosomal RNA", at positions 6 to 287 of the family's 1831-position model. The record is from RNAcentral.